RNAcentral lists this ribosomal RNA (543 nucleotides) under uncultured bacterium. Its description in RNAcentral is "bacterial SSU rRNA". It matches the Rfam family "Bacterial small subunit ribosomal RNA", at positions 967 to 1509 of the family's 1533-position model. The record is from RNAcentral.
AACCUUACCUGGCCUUGACAUACUAAGAACUUUCCAGAGAUGGAUUGGUGCCUUCGGGAACUUAGAUACAGGUGCUGCAUGGCUGUCGUCAGCUCGUGUCGUGAGAUGUUGGGUUAAGUCCCGCAACGAGCGCAACCCUUUUCCUAUUUGCCAGCGGGUUAAGCCGGGAACUUUUAAGGAUACUGCCAGUGACAAACUGGAGGAAGGCGGGGACGACGUCAAGUCAUCAUGGCCCUUACGGCCAGGGCUACACACGUGCUACAAUGGUCGGUACAAAGGGUUGCUACCUCGCGAGAGGAUGCUAAUCUCAAAAAGCCGAUCGUAGUCCGGAUCGCAGUCUGCAACUCGACUGCGUGAAGUCGGAAUCGCUAGUAAUCGCGGAUCAGAAUGCCGCGGUGAAUACGUUCCCGGGCCUUGUACACACCGCCCGUCACACCGUGGGAGUUUGUUGCACCAGAAGUAGGUAGUCUAACCGCAAGGAGGACGCUUACCACGGUGUGGCCGAUGACUGGGGUGAAGUCGUAACAAGGUAGGCGUAGAUGA